Molecule: ribosomal RNA, 755 nt
Filed under: uncultured archaeon
Lineage: Archaea
Description: bacterial SSU rRNA
Rfam family: Archaeal small subunit ribosomal RNA
Source: RNAcentral
UACGGCUCAGUAACACGUAGUCAACAUGCCCAGGGGACGUGGAUAACCUCGGGAAACUGAGGAUAAACCGCGAUAGGUCAUGAUUUCUGGAAUGAUUCAUGGCCGAAAUCUACAUGGCCCCUGGAUUGGACUGCGGCCGAUCAGGCUGUUGGUGAGGUAAUGGCCCACCAAACCUGUUACCGGUACGGGCUCUGAGAGGAGGAGCCCGGAGAUGGGCACUGAGACAAGGGCCCAGGCCCUAUGGGGCGCAGCAGGCGCGAAACCUCUGCAAUAGGCGAAAGCCUGACAGGGUUACUCUGAGUGGUUUCCGCUAAGGGAAUCUUUUGGCACCUCUACAAAUGGUGCAGAAUAAGGGGUGGGCAAGUCUGGUGUCAGCCGCCGCGGUAAUACCAGCACCCCGAGUGGUCGGGACGUUUAUUGGGCCUAAAGCAUCCGUAGCCGGUUCUACAAGUCUUCCGUUAAAUCCACCUGCUUAACAGAUGGGCUGCGGAGGAUACUAUGGAGCUAGGAGGCGGGAGAGGCAAGCGGUACUUAGUGGGUAGGGGUAAAAUCCGUUGAUCCAUUGAAGACCACCAGUGGCGAAGGCGGCUUGCCAGAACGCACUCGACGGUGAGGGAUGAAAGCUGGGGGAGCAAACCGGAUUAGAUACCCGGGUAGUCCCAGCUGUAAACGAUGCAGACUCGGUGAUGGGCCGGCUUUAUGCCGGCUCAGUGCCGCAGGGAAGCCGUUAAGUCUGCCGCCUGGGGAGUACGGUC